RNAcentral lists this transfer RNA (71 nucleotides) under Camelus bactrianus (Bactrian camel). It matches the Rfam family "tRNA". Rfam says of the family: Transfer RNA (tRNA) molecules are approximately 80 nucleotides in length. Their secondary structure includes four short double-helical elements and three loops (D, anti-codon, and T loops). The record is from Rfam by way of RNAcentral. Lineage: Eukaryota; Metazoa; Chordata; Mammalia; Artiodactyla; Camelidae. RNAcentral also lists the same sequence under 3 other names.
GAGGGUAUAGCUCAGUGGUAGAGCACUGCUUAGCAUGCAUGAGGUCCUGGGUUCAAUCCCCAGUACUUCCA